CACUGCCGCAGAAGCAUCGGGCCAUGUCUGCCUGCGGAAACCAGUCUUGGAAAACGUCCUCUGAGACCGGACCCAGCACAGGAUGGCCUCAAAUGGGGUGGAUGGAAUGGCUGUGUGCUGGUUAAUAAAACUUGGUUUUCGAGCGUUUCCCUGCCCCAGGAGGGCAGUGGGCCCCAUGUCCAAUUCAUCAAAUGCCUAAUGAGUGGCCUCGGAGGUCCCGGCCCGUCCAUUCCAGAAGCUCUCUCUGCCUCGUAAAGGCGCUCUUGCCUUCGCCAAGUUGUCGGGACCCUGUCAGCUACAGGCAGGAGCUGGGCUGCCUGGGUUGUGUCUGCCCCAACGUGGAUGGGAAGCUGGAGUCUGAGCAGCAGGAGCUCGAAGGACACGCAGCAGCUCAGGGCCUGGGAGCCCGAGAGACGCGCUGAAGGUUGCAGGAAUGGGGCCCGUUGGUCGCUGGGUUGUGGGGUCCCCAGGCCAGAGGCCUCCCAAAUUUCCACAUGGCAGCCUGGCCGGGUCCGGGUUCCUCCCGUCUGGAUUGAGCCUCCGGAAGUCGCCGGGCCUUUAAUUAAGCACUGCGGCGGGACGAGCGGCCGUUGCUGAGAAGUGACGCCACACGACCUGCGACUUUUUCUUCCCUUCCUUCCGGCGACGCCUUGAGCACCAGAGGGAAGGAGCCUGGAGGGGAGGUCAUGCUGGCUCUGCAGGCAGUGGAAGGAGAUGGGAGGCUGUCUUGGAGGGUUCUUUGUGAUACCCUCUGCGUUUUAUCACCUACUGGGCCCUGAAGCCGGGGCACAGGCCCCGUCCAAACAGUUGGCUGGGGUUUGGGGACUUCUUUUAAUACCUGGAAUGUGGAGAGGUGAGACGUCUCCCAGGCUGUGGGUCAGAGGCUAGGAUGGCUGUCCCUCUUCCACAGGUUCCUUCUGUGGAAGAGGAGGAUUCUGGAAGGUUUCGGAGGCUGAAGGAGGCGUCUAUGGCUGGCUUACCCACGGGUAGGCUGGCACCAACCGACACCUCCCUCCUUCUACGUGGGGAAGACACAGUGCAGAUUGCAUGGCUCUCAGCAGGGACCUCAAAGUGCCCACAUGCUCCAGAAUUUUCACCCCAGCCUUGCACACCCCUGUAUGUUCCCACUGGGUUGAAGGAUUUCAUGGCAUGUGGGUCGCUGGCUUAGAGUACCCCCACAGGGGGCCACAAGCGGCUGUUCUGAUUGGGGCUUGGGGGAGGUAGGUUCAGUUCACCGCCGUGAAGACCCUCAACUCAGGACUGGCCUCUCUCAGUUGGCCCCAGUUCCACCCAAGGCGGCCGGAGCACCCGUGCAGGAUUUCCCGCAAGGAGCUGGCCUGCUCCCCCGCACACCCUUCUUACCGGGCACUCAUUGUACAUUAGAUUAUCUUUUGAAAAUAUACUUUGAAGGGUUUUUGUUUUGUUUUGUUUUUCCUACUUGACACUCUUGAAUCAAAUAGGCCAUUUAUCUUUUAGGCAGAAGAAUUUCAGCAGUUACACAGCACGCUCACUGGAGGAUUGCAGGCUGAAAGAAGAGAGCUAGUGAUUUUGCCAGCUUCCUGGAUGUUCAUUCUGGUUCUGCACAAAGAGCCACAUUUCCUUCUGGAUUCGGGACCAGGACACAGACAGACAGCAGCAGACACUGGAAACUGUUGUGAGGAUUUGAGAUUGUGAAUGAGAAGGCUAGGCCCCGAGCAUGUGUGGGAUGGAGGAUUAGGUCACAGCCGUCUGUGGGCCAGUUCCCGGAGCCCAGGAACAAAUGGGCAGAGGGGCUGCUUGGCAUCACAUCUCGGCCAGCUACGAGCGGGGCGACCCCGGAUGUUAGCAGACGUCACUCAAGCAGAAGCUUGGAGAAAUGCUUAACCCGUGUCCACUAGUCCUCGUGUGCCUCUGCUGUCCCUGUGAGCAGGGCCUGAGCUGCUGGGCUGAGGAAGGACGGGAGACGCCCAUUCAUCCCAACAGAGCUACAGAUGUCAGAACGACCAGAGAGGACUUGGACAGACCGCCUCCAUUCUGCUGUUCCCGGAAGGACAGUGUUAGUGGUUACGAACGGCUGUAUUCUUGGGGGCGCUUUCGCCGCUCACAUCAUCCGGACAGCUGUCUGUUUCCACGGUGAGAGUUGCAAAGCUUCCCAUUUAAAGAUCCAUCUGGUUCUUACAUCAAGCUGAGCCCUGAUCUUAAGGCGCAAGCCCAAACACACUGGGGAGAUGCAAAAAUUUAGGAACGAGCGUGUUUAUAUUGUGUUUGCAUUAAUGCUUCCUAGAGUUUAUUUUCAAAGUGAAGAAAGAACAAUGCAUAGUAGG
Long non-coding RNA from Hippopotamus amphibius kiboko, 2303 nucleotides. RefSeq lists it as uncharacterized. NCBI's taxonomy places the organism in Eukaryota, Metazoa, Chordata, Mammalia, Artiodactyla, Hippopotamidae. The record is from RefSeq and is a predicted model, not a curated record. The transcript is spliced from 7 exons.